Molecule: long non-coding RNA, 4342 nt
Organism: Jaculus jaculus (lesser Egyptian jerboa)
Lineage: Eukaryota; Metazoa; Chordata; Mammalia; Rodentia; Dipodidae
Exons: 4
Source: RefSeq, a predicted model, not a curated record
UCUUCAAAGCCGACGGCGGCUGUUGGAGGAAGGGCGGCUGAGGGUCCUGGACCGAAGCGGCCUUAGUUCUUCCCGAAGCUCCUCGCGGCCUUUUCCCCCAACACUCCACCGCCAAGAUGUCUCGGAUCAUGAUCAAGGGGGGCGUGUGGAGGAACACCGAGGAUGAAAUUCUGAAAGCAGCAGUAAUGGAAAUAUGGGUAAAACCAGUGGUGUAGGAUUGCCUCACUGCUGCCUAGAAAAUCAGCAAAGCACUUCCAAUGGGAUGUGGGAAAAUGAAGAGAAAACCACAGAUGAUCAAUGAAAGUUAAACAUGGGGAGAGAGAUCCAAAUCCAGAAGAAAAGCCAGCGGGCCUGGUCCAGUUGAUAGGGUGAGGGUACCUUGCUGCCUUCCAAAAACAGAAAGAACUUUGAGCAGCUGGCAUAGAAAUUUAGAAGAAAAGAAGAGAAAAGUUGAUUAUAAUGCUGGGGAUGGGUAGAGGAUCAAAGGAGGGAGGUUUUUACUGCAGAGACACCACACACAAGGCCUUUACAGAAACUCCCAAAACCAUACUCUACUUUUUAGAUGCUCACAAGACGUUCCCCCAGGAUUGACCAACAACACUGUUACCUACUUGAUGUUCAGUGAAUGUGUUUUACCAUCGUGGUUUUCUCAAAAUUAAUAGCUUGACUUGUGAUGGAAUCUUGCUGAGAGCACACUUCUGAUGGGCUGUCAUCCGCAAGAAGGUCAGUGGAGAGUGGCUUACCCAUUCCUGCUACACCUGGUGAAGCCACCCUGCUCAUAAGGUUCUACCUCAGCUGCCCCUGGUGAAUCAUUCAUUUAAAACCCAACCUGACUUCAAAACCACUUUGAAAUUCUGUGGGUGUGACUCUACUGAUGAGCUAAGACCACACGUUUUACCUAUGUGGUGGGGAGUGUUAAUGUAUGUCCCCAUAGCCUGAGGAGUUUUGAAUUGAGCUUGCCAUUUAAGUCUCCAGCAGCCUGUUGGAGGGUGUGUCACUGGAGUAGAUCUUAAGUCCAGCCCUUAGGUGUGUUCAGAGCAGUUUGAGCUCUGGCUCUUUGUGUCUGCUGGCUGUUUGGUGCAGUCUCUGUGCUAUGAUCUAUGGAAAUGGGCCAGCGUCUUCCACUGCUGAUGGUGUUUCCCCUGGGUUCUGUCUGCCUGAAAUGAGCUCUUAUUUCCCACAAGCUGCAUCUGGUUGGAUGCUUGUCCAGCAAUGCAAAGGUAACAGCAACAACAUAAAGAUGCACUUUGACUCUUCAUAGCUCUACAUAUGGGACACGAUAUAGUCUUCAUUUACUGUUCAUAAGUUUAUCUCUUCAUUGAAUUUUCACAGUGCCUUUAGAUGUUGCUGGUAGAAUCUCAUUAGGAUGUACUGGAAAAAUAGAAUUUCUUCUAAGUAUAUGUGUUCUGGUUUGAACUGUGGAUGCAUUCAAAAUAUAAUUAUGUUUUCUUAGUGGCAGAAUAUUAUAAAAUUGAUAAUCAUUUGUUGUUUAAACAUUUGGUCUAAUCACUUUUUCCAAGUACACCAUCUCACUCAGAAUGGAGCUUCAAGGAGAUCAUGAAGUUCAUUUACUGUUCAUAAAUGUAUCACACUGAAUUUUCACCCUACUGUUAGAUGGUUGGUGCUGGUUGAAUCUUAACGACCUAUAGCAACAAGAGCAUUUCUUCUUCCAAAUCUACCUCUCCUGGUUUGAACUGUGGGUGCAUUCACACUACAGCUGUGUCAGGUUAAUGGGUGUAUGCGGAUGACAGCUCGUAGAGGGAAGAGCUGCGCCUGCGUGGGCUGUGGUGCCGGGUGGCCAGCCUCCGAGUGCCCCCUGGGGCCACACGAACACAGUGCGACUCACGAAGUCACACAUUCAGUCCUUUGCCGUGUCACACUGAAACUUCAUAAGGACCGUUUCUAACCAUUAACAGUCUCAAACAAUAAGUACUUGUAUUUCCUGGGACAUGAAGGCUGGUACUUCUGAAGUUCUCCGUGCUGUUAAAUGCCAGAGGCAAGAGCUAGAUAUGAGCGGUUGCGUCCACAGGGUGUGUUUGGAUGUCUCCACAGUGGAGAAGCGUUGUGUGUUUCAUUAGCUAGCUGUGAUGUUGUGCAGUGAUGGAGAAUGCCUGGAAUCACUGUCAGUGAGGGACAUAGGGAGGAGGCUGUCUACUUCUAAGACUAAUUUAUUCACGGGUAUUCUUGUCAGUCACCUUCUUGUAACUGUGAUGAAAUUACUUGGCAGGGAGCUGGAGAGAUGGCUUAACAGUUGAGAUGCUUGCCUAGACCCACAUAAUCCAGAUGCACAAGGUGGCAUAUACCGGGACUGUGAAGGGGCUACCGUAAAGUGCCCUGUUGGCCUGGGUUAGAAGUGUUCCCUGGCGACUCUGGCCAGCUAGAGGGGCAGAAUUGGAAAAUCUGGAGACUGUCAGUCUCUGGUUGUACUGGACUUAAACUGCAGAAGUUUGGUUUUUCCUUUAUUGUCUUUGUCUCUCCUUGCUAUGCCUUAUGCCAGUUGAAAUGUUUACUCUGCCUUUAUAUGUUGAAAGUAUAUAACUUGUUUGAUUUUAUAGGACACACAGCUAAAAGACAAUUUUAAAUCUCAGGAAACAUGGGACUUCGGAAUUGUCUUAAGUUGGUCAAGACUGAGGGGACCUUUGAGAUUGGACUGAAUACUAUUUACAAUGUGUGAUGGUUAUGAAUCUAUUGUGGGCCAGGGCCUGGAGGCAGUGUCACUGGGCAGAUCUUAAGGUGUGGUGGUGGAUUUGGAAUUUCAGCCUAAAGAUAUGUAAAGUGUGCCAAGCUGGAACUCCUAAAGUGUGCUCUGUGGUGUAGCUUUGGGCUUGUGGCUUUUUCUCUCUCUGCUUGGACCUGUGAAGGCAGGCCAGCUUCUUCUGCCAUUAUAGAACUUCCCCUGAUCUGUAAGCUUCAAUAAAUCCCUUCCUCCAUCACUGUGCCUGGUCUGGAAGUCCAUCUCAGUGAACCUGAAGCUGUCUGCUACAGUACCUUAUUCUCCUAGCUCCUCAUACAUGUGCAUGCAUAUAUUUGAGACAGAGUCCCUAAUGUGGCCUGACAUCUGUUAACCAUGUAAACCAAUACUGACCUUGAACUUUUGUUUCUCCACAUCCAGAGGCCUAAGGUUACAGGCCUGAGCUAACAGGGCCAGUUUUAUGAAAUGUUAGCACUGCCUUUGUGCCCGCUAGGUAAGCACUCUACAAAGUGAACAACAUGCCGGCCCGUUCUUGCUCCUCUGAACCAAACACUUCUUAACACUGCUGUCUAGACACACUGUGAUGCACAAUCCAUCUUAGAAAUCUUGAUCCUCAGUCAAACUUUUGUAAUUGGAAUUCGUACAUCCACUGAGCAUGUUGUCUGCUUUUACUGCAUCAAUCAGCCCUCCUGAAACAACCCGUGUCCAGAAGGAACUCAGUUAUGACACUCAUCUCCCACGUGUUCCAGUGCAGCCCCCACCCCCUCUUCAGAACCUUUCAAACCAGACACAUGUAGGCUUUUUCUACCCUUCGUGCUUCUGAAUGUCUAGUGGCGGAUUCACAGGUGCUACCUCCGGUACCUGUGAGAGUGUCUCGAUCGCUGAAGACUUGGUUUACUCCAGGGGCACACAGGGAAACCAGAACUCUACAUAGUGUCUUGUGAGCUCUUGGUGGGGUGACUAGUGGAGACUGCAAAUUAGAGCAUCAACUAGGAACGGUUUGUUGGAAUACACAACACGGGUCAUCUGUUCCUUAGCCUCAGAGCUUGGUCAUGUAAACCAACGUGCUUUCAUUUGUUCAAGUGUGGAAGUGUAUUCAAAUACAGAAAUCCCCUGUACAUGGCUAUGAUUGUUUUGGAGCUAAUCACUGUAAGUAAGGUAUUGUGAUUCUUUUCAAUAGAGUAAUUUCCCUUUGAAUUGUAUAUUGAGCAAUUGGGACAUCUGUCUGGUGGAGACAUAGUUAUAGACACUCCCUCCUUCAGAAAAUCCCAAACUAAGCUGGGCGUGGUGUCUCAUGCCUUUAAUCCCAGUGCUCUGGAGGCAGAGGUAGGAGGAUCACCAUGAGGCCAUCCUGAGAAUAUAGAGUGAAUUCCAGGUCAACCUGGGCUAGAAUCAUACCCUACCUCGAAAAAACAAAAAAGAAAGAAACAAAGCCCAACCUAGCUAACAGGAUCACAGCUGGAUGCAGGACCAUAUAUAGGCCCUGGGUCUUAGGAUUGGUUACACUUAGCAGGUGGCUCCCAUCACAGUGAUGUACCUGACAAAAGACAAUGAUUAUUUACACAGUUUGUAAACAUUCUAGUCCAUAAUGCACACUUGUGUUUCUUAAAUUUGUCAUGUGUCUUAGAAAAAUAAAAACCUACGUCAAAA